This 450-nucleotide ribosomal RNA is filed under the name uncultured bacterium. RNAcentral describes it as "partial 16S ribosomal RNA". It matches the Rfam family "Bacterial small subunit ribosomal RNA", at positions 354 to 796 of the family's 1533-position model. The record is from RNAcentral.
GUGGGGAAUAUUGGACAAUGGGCGAAAGCCUGAUCCAGCCAUGCCGCGUGUGUGAAGAAGGUCUUCGGAUUGUAAAGCACUUUAAGUUGGGAGGAAGGUCAGUAAGUUAAUACCUUGCUGUUUUGACGUUACCAACAGAAUAAGCACCGGCUAACUUCGUGCCAGCAGCCGCGGUAAUACGAAGGGUGCAAGCGUUAAUCGGAAUUACUGGGCGUAAAGCGCGCGUAGGUGGUUUUGUAAGUUGGAGGUGAAAUCCCCGGGCUCAACCUGGGAACUGCCUCCAAAACUGCAUGACUAGAGUACGGUAGAGGGUAGUGGAAUUUCCUGUGUAGCGGUGAAAUGCGUAGAUAUAGGAAGGAACACCAGUGGCGAAGGCGACUACCUGGACUGAUACUGACACUGAGGUGCGAAAGCGUGGGGAGCAAACAGGAUUAGAAACCCUAGUAGUCC